Molecule: RNA transcript, 1523 nt
Organism: Ixodes scapularis (black-legged tick)
Lineage: Eukaryota; Metazoa; Arthropoda; Arachnida; Ixodida; Ixodidae
Exons: 5
Source: RefSeq, a predicted model, not a curated record
UUCGUCGGGCAGCGGCAGCAGUGGAUCACGGCCGUGCGACGAAAGAAUGCCGACGGAACAGACUGGAAGCCCACUCGGCACACGAAGAUAUGCAGCGUCCAUUUCGUUGGAGGUGCGCCGUCCAAGGAUGUGUCUUCACCGUCGUACGUGCCGAUGAUAUUUCCGGACGUGUACCUUAAGCGGUCCGUGCUUUCGGAAGAUAAGGCUGUACGCUAUGAGAGAAUGAAGAAGCGGAGGACGGCCGCAACAGCUGUUGCAAAUCUCGCCCACUCCUCAACAUCCUCGCCGAACGUGCCGCAAGCUGCACCACCUACGGCCACCAUGGACGUGCCAGCUUCUCUAGCAACAGCAGUCACACCCCCGCUGGAGGAACCUGAAGGCACCGAUGAGAAUAAUGAACCCAGAGAGCUGCAAGGACUUGAGGUCUCAACUCAGACUCAACAGACAUCGCAAGCCCAGAGCGAAGGGGUCCUGCUGAUUGCCUGCACCCUGUUCGCCGGUGCAUGCGAGGCAUCCACGCAGGUUGCGUUCAUUGCAUCUGAACUACCUGCAACAGCCGAUGCAAGUGUCACAGCAUUGUGUCUGGAGGACCACCAGCCUAGGGGUUUCUAUGGCUACCAGUCCUUGGCAGACAAAGAAAACGACGAUGCUCUCAGAGACCUCACUGGGGUGACCAUCACGGUGUUCCUGGCUCUGUUGAGCCUCUUACCACGGGUGCGUGGCGAGAGAUACUUGGACCUGGCAGUGGACAGCAAGCUUCUGCUGUUUCUCAUGAAGAUGAAGCAUGGCCUCACGUUCUCUGCGUUAGGAGUUCUAUUCAGCAUUCAUCGGAGUAGCGCGUCGCGCAUUCUCUAUGCCACUCUGGACGUCCUGUAUGUCAGCACUCGAGGGUGGAUCCAGUGGUUUUCGAGGGAUGUUGUACAAGCGUGAAUGCCUCCCUCCUUCCGCUUCAACUAUCCCACUUGUAGGGUUAUUGUGGACUGUUCGGAGGUCCGAAUCGAGAAACCAGGUAAAGUCACAGACAGGGUAAACUGCUGGAGCAACUACAAGAGUGACUUUACACUGAAAUUUCUAGUUGGGAUCACACCGUCGGGGUACAUAACAUUCAUUUCGGAUGUGUUUGGUGGCAGGUCAAGCGACACAUACAUCAUCGCCAACUCUGGAUUGAUUAGCCUGCUGGAACGGGGGGAUAUGGUGAUGGCGGACAAAGGUUUUCCUCAUAUAAAGUGUGACUUGGAAAGUAAGGACGUCACACUUGUCAUGCCACCAUUCGCAAAAGCCAACCAGCAGUUCACUGAGGCGGAGCUGAAAGAGACCUACAAGGUUGCAUCUCACCGCAUUCAUGUCGAGAGAUGCAUUCAGCGCAUCAAGAGUUUUGCGAUCUUGAGUGAAAGGCUAACACCAGAACUCAGAUUUCACAUUGACAAGAUAGUACAUGUGUGCAGCACACUGGCCAACCUACAAGGUCCUGUCAUAAAAACUGUGUGAGUGCUUUGAACAGAAAUAAAUGUUUGGAUACAUGU